RNAcentral lists this ribosomal RNA (906 nucleotides) under uncultured bacterium. RNAcentral describes it as "bacterial SSU rRNA". It matches the Rfam family "Bacterial small subunit ribosomal RNA", at positions 545 to 1452 of the family's 1533-position model. The record is from RNAcentral.
UNGGAAUUACUGGGCGUAAAGCGAGCGCAGACGGUUUAUUAAGCAAGAUGUGAANUCCCCGAGCUUAACUUGGGAACUGCGUUUUGAACUGGUAAGCUAGAGUAUGUCAGAGGGGGGUAGAAUUCCACGUGUAGCAGUGAAAUGCGUAGAGAUGUGGAGGAAUACCGAUGGCGAAGGCAGCCCCCUGGGAUAAUACUGACGUUCAUGCUCGAAAGCGUGGGUAGCAAACAGGAUUAGAUACCCUGGUAGUCCACGCCCUAAACGAUGUCAAUUAGCUGUUGGGCAACAUGAUUGCUUAGUAGCGUAGCUAACGCGUGAAAUUGACCGCCUGGGGAGUACGGUCGCAAGAUUAAAACUCAAAGGAAUUGACGGGGACCCGCACAAGCGGUGGAUGAUGUGGAUUAAUUCGAUGCAACGCGAAGAACCUUACCUGGUCUUGACAUGUACGGAAUCUUCCAGAGACGGAAGAGUGCCUUCGGGAGCCGUAACACAGGUGCUGCAUGGCUGUCGUCAGCUCGUGUCGUGAGAUGUUGGGUUAAGUCCCGCAACGAGCGCAACCCUUGUCAUUAGUUGCCACCAUUCAGUUGGGCACUCUAAUGAGACUGCCGGUGACAAACCGGAGGAAGGUGGGGAUGACGUCAAGUCCUCAUGGCCCUUAUGACCAGGGCUUCACACGUCAUACAAUGGUCGGUACAGAGGGUAGCCAAGCCGCGAGGUGGAGCCAAUCUCAGAAAACCGAUCGUAGUCCGGAUUGCACUCUGCAACUCGAGUGCAUGAAGUCGGAAUCGCUAGUAAUCGCAGGUCAGCAUACUGCGGUGAAUACGUUCCCGGGUCUUGUACACACCGCCCGUCACACCAUGGGAGUGGGGGAUACCAGAAGUAGGUAGGCUAACCGCAAGGAGGCCG